RNAcentral lists this ribosomal RNA (519 nucleotides) under Triticum aestivum (bread wheat). Its description in RNAcentral is "partial small subunit ribosomal RNA". The record is from RNAcentral. Lineage: Eukaryota; Viridiplantae; Streptophyta; Magnoliopsida; Poales; Poaceae.
AUGACCGGCCUGGAUCUGUCGAAUGACAAUUUUUCAGGACCAAUCCUUCAGGACAUUUCACGGCAGGUGCCGUACCUGACAUCUCUGGACCUUUCGUACAAUAGUUUUUCGGGUUCGAUCCCACAGAAUAUCUCAAACAUGAUAUAUCUGAAUCUCCUCAACCUCCAGCAUAACCAACUCAGCGGUCAAAUUCCACCGCAAUUCGAUUUGCUUACUCGGUUAACCGCAUUCAAUGUUGUGGAGAACUUGUUAUCAGGGCCUAUUCCUACUUUACCACGUAAGUUUCCGGCUUCGAACUUUGCUGGUAACCAAGGACAUUGUGGUUCACCAUUGGAUGAUUGUCCCCCCUCGAGGAGGAGAUGGAGACCGGUACGAAUCAGGCUGCACGGGCUCAACGACCAGUCGAGCAUCGGAGUGGCCAUCGGAUUCGUGGUGGGGUUCGUGGUGGCCUUCUACUCCCGCACUGCUUCGUCUGCUCUGAGCCUAUGUCGUCCGCAUAUGAUUCACCUGUUAUUCUGA